CUCUCCCUGAUUUGUCUGGCACAGGAAGAUUAACGUGUGCAAAAUUUGGUCCUGAUGCGAAAUACAUAGCAGUUGGAUCAAUGGAUCGCAACCUCCGUAUAUUUGGCCUGCCUGGGGAUGAAGGUCAAGCGGAGUAAUGAAACAUCUUCAAUUGCUUGAUAUUGUAAGUGGGCUGUUGAUGUUCCUUGCGGUUGCUUUUACUGCUUCUGUUGGGCUGUACUGUUUUGGCUGAUGACACAGAUGGUAGAACUUGAUUUCUCAUCAAUUGUGCAGAGUUGGCUCUUUACCCAAUUUUCUAUUAAUGGAGCCAUGUUCCUAGGUGCAGGUCACCUGAGAUUGAAGAAGUGAAAUUGAAAUAGCUAGUCAGUCUUUUUGUAUUAAAUUGUCAUUGGAACUUCCAUAACAUAGAGAGUUAGAGCUUGCAUUUAAUCUACAAAUGAGAUUUUACUUACUGGGAGAAUGCUUGCUACUUCAGUUCAUAUACUUCCAGAUUU
Molecule: unclassified non-coding RNA, 494 nt
Filed under: Hevea brasiliensis (rubber tree)
Lineage: Eukaryota; Viridiplantae; Streptophyta; Magnoliopsida; Malpighiales; Euphorbiaceae
Source: RNAcentral